Molecule: ribosomal RNA, 448 nt
Filed under: uncultured bacterium
Lineage: Bacteria
Description: bacterial SSU rRNA
Rfam family: Bacterial small subunit ribosomal RNA
Source: RNAcentral
UGCCAGACUCCUACGGGAGGCAGCAGUCGGGAAUAUUGCGCAAUGGAGGGAACUCUGACGCAGUGACGCCGCGUAUAGGAAGAAGGUUUUCGGAUUGUAAACUAUUGUCGUUAGGGAAGAUAAAAGACGGUACCUAAGGAGGAAGCUCCGGCUAACUACGUGCCAGCAGCCGCGGUAAUACGUAGGGAGCAAGCGUUAUCCGGAUUUAUUGGGUGUAAAGGGUGCGUAGACGGGAAAUUAAGUUAGUUGUGAAAUCCCGCGGCUCAACUGAGGAACUGCAACUAAAACUGAUUUUCUUGAGUGCAGGAGAGGUAAGUGGAAUUCCUAGUGUAGCGGUGAAAUGCGUAGAUAUUAGGAGGAACACCAGUGGCGAAGGCGACUUACUGGACUGUAACUGACGUUGAGGCACGAAAGUGUGGGGAGCAAACAGGAUUAGAUACCCGCGUAA